Molecule: ribosomal RNA, 468 nt
Filed under: uncultured bacterium
Lineage: Bacteria
Description: partial 16S ribosomal RNA
Rfam family: Bacterial small subunit ribosomal RNA
Source: RNAcentral
GACGAACGCUGGCGGCGUGCCUAACACAUGCAAGUCGAACGGAAAGGCCCUGCUUUUGUGGGGUCCUCGAGUGGCGAACGGGUGAGUAACACGUGAGUAACCUGCCCUUGACUUUGGGAUAACUUCAGGAAACUGGGGCUAAUACCGGAUAGGAGCUCCUGCUGCAUGGUGGGGGUUGGAAAGUUUCGGCGGUUGGGGAUGGACUCGCGGCUUAUCAGCUUGUUGGUUGGGUAGUGUCUUAGCAAGGCCUGGACGGGUAGCAGGCCUGGGAGGGUAACCGGCCACAUUGGGCCGGGGAUGCGACACAGCCCCCUCCGGGAGGCGACGGAGCGGUAUGUUGCACUGUGGGAGGGGCCCUAAUGCAGCCAAGCCGCGUGGGGGGUGUGGGCCUUCGGUUUGUGAACCAAUGCUGCCUUUGACGAGGCGUGAAUGACGGUACUGGGUGAAUAAGCACCGGCUAACUACGUG